CCUCCUCUUCUUGGCGGGGAUCGGGUGUGCGGUCUCGAUCCCCGUAAUGUAUGGAGGCAGACGGAAAGGGCUCCGGCCCCCUCGGUGUCAUGUCUUCGAUGCCGGCGGCCUCCAGUCCGCCGGUUCUAUCCUCAAACGCCGGGACACGA
This is a small nucleolar RNA of Rhinolophus ferrumequinum (greater horseshoe bat), 149 nucleotides long. NCBI's taxonomy places the organism in Eukaryota, Metazoa, Chordata, Mammalia, Chiroptera, Rhinolophidae. The record is from Ensembl.